Molecule: ribosomal RNA, 901 nt
Filed under: Cerrena consors
Lineage: Eukaryota; Fungi; Basidiomycota; Agaricomycetes; Polyporales; Cerrenaceae
Description: LSU rRNA
Rfam family: Eukaryotic large subunit ribosomal RNA
Source: RNAcentral
GGAUUCCCCUAGUAACUGCGAGUGAAGCGGGAAAAGCUCAAAUUUAAAAUCUGGCGGUCUUUGGCUGUCCGAGUUGUANUCUGGAGAAGCGUUUUCCGCGCUGGACCGUGUACAAGUCCCUUGGAAUAGGGCGUCAUANAGGGUGAGAAUCCCGUCUUUGACACGGACUACCAGUGCUUUGUGAUGCGCUCUCAAAGAGUCGAGUUGUUUGGGAAUGCANCUCAAAAUGGGUGGUAAAUUCCAUCUAAAGCUAAAUAUUGGCGAGAGACCGAUAGCGAACAAGUACCGUGAGGGAAAGAUGAAAAGCACUUUGGAAAGAGAGUUAAACAGUACGUGAAAUUGCUAAAAGGGAAACGCUUGAAGUCAGUCGCGUUAUGCAGAACUCAGCCUGGCUUUUGCUUGGUGUAUUUUCUGUAUGACGGGCCAGCAUCAAUUUUGGCCGCUGGAAAAAGGCCUCAGAAAUGUGGCACCUUCGGGUGUGUUAUAGUCUGAGGUCAUAUACAGCGGCUGGGAUUGAGGUCUGCAGCACGCCUUUAUGGCUGGGGUUCGCCCACAUUCGUGCUUAGGAUGCUGGCGUAAUGGCUUUAAACGACCCGUCUUGAAACACGGACCAAGGAGUCUAACAUGCCUGCGAGUGUUUGGGUGGAAAACCCGAGCGCGCAAUGAAAGUGAAAGUUGAGAUCCCUGUCGUGGGGAGCAUCGACGCCCGGACCAGACCUUUUGUGACGGAUCUGCGGUAGAGCAUGUAUGUUGGGACCCGAAAGAUGGUGAACUAUGCCUGAAUAGGGUGAAGCCAGAGGAAACUCUGGUGGAGGCUCGUANCGAUUCUGACGUGCAAAUCGAUCGUCAAAUUUGGGUAUAGGGGCGAAAGACUAAUCGAACCAUCUAGUAGCUGGUUCCU